GGGUUGUGAGGUUAAGCGACUAAGCGUACACGGUGGAUGCCCUGGCAGUCAGAGGCGAUGAAGGACGUGCUAAUCUGCGAUAAGCGUCGGUAAGGUGAUAUGAACCGUUAUAACCGGCGAUUUCCGAAUGGGGAAACCCAGUGUGAUUCGUCACACUAUCAUUAACUGAAUCCAUAGGUUAAUGAGGCGAACCGGGGGAACUGAAACAUCUAAGUACCCCGAGGAAAAGAAAUCAACCGAGAUUCCCCCAGUAGCGGCGAGCGAACGGGGAGCAGCCCAGAGCCUGAAUCAGUGUGUGUGUUAGUGGAAGCGUCUGGAAAGGCGCGCGAUACAGGGUGACAGCCCCGUACACAAAAAUGCACAUGCUGUGAGCUCGAUGAGUAGGGCGGGACACGUGGUAUCCUGUCUGAAUAUGGGGGGACCAUCCUCCAAGGCUAAAUACUCCUGACUGACCGAUAGUGAACCAGUACCGUGAGGGAAAGGCGAAAAGAACCCCGGCGAGGGGAGUGAAAAAGAACCUGAAACCGUGUACGUACAAGCAGUGGGAGCACAGAGCAAUCUGUGUGACUGCGUACCUUUUGUAUAAUGGGUCAGCGACUUAUAUUCUGUAGCAAGGUUAACCGAAUAGGGGAGCCGAAGGGAAACCGAGUCUUAACUGGGCGUUAAGUUGCAGGGUAUAGACCCGAAACCCGGUGAUCUAGCCAUGGGCAGGUUGAAGGUUGGGUAACACUAACUGGAGGACCGAACCGACUAAUGUUGAAAAAUUAGCGGAUGACUUGUGGCUGGGGGUGAAAGGCCAAUCAAACCGGGAGAUAGCUGGUUCUCCCCGAAAGCUAUUUAGGUAGCGCCUCGUGAAUUCAUCUCCGGGGGUAGAGCACUGUUUCGGCAAGGGGGUCAUCCCGACUUACCAACCCGAUGCAAACUGCGAAUACCGGAGAAUGUUAUCACGGGAGACACACGGCGGGUGCUAACGUCCGUCGUGAAGAGGGAAACAACCCAGACCGCCAGCUAAGGUCCCAAAGUCAUGGUUAAGUGGGAAACGAUGUGGGAAGGCCCAGACAGCCAGGAUGUUGGCUUAGAAGCAGCCAUCAUUUAAAGAAAGCGUAAUAGCUCACUGGUCGAGUCGGCCUGCGCGGAAGAUGUAACGGGGCUAAACCAUGCACCGAAGCUGCGGCAGCGACGCUUAUGCGUUGUUGGGUAGGGGAGCGUUCUGUAAGCCUGCGAAGGUGUGCUGUGAGGCAUGCUGGAGGUAUCAGAAGUGCGAAUGCUGACAUAAGUAACGAUAAAGCGGGUGAAAAGCCCGCUCGCCGGAAGACCAAGGGUUCCUGUCCAACGUUAAUCGGGGCAGGGUGAGUCGACCCCUAAGGCGAGGCCGAAAGGCGUAGUCGAUGGGAAACAGGUUAAUAUUCCUGUACUUGGUGUUACUGCGAAGGGGGGACGGAGAAGGCUAUGUUGGCCGGGCGACGGUUGUCCCGGUUUAAGCGUGUAGGCUGGUUUUCCAGGCAAAUCCGGAAAAUCAAGGCUGAGGCGUGAUGACGAGGCACUACGGUGCUGAAGCAACAAAUGCCCUGCUUCCAGGAAAAGCCUCUAAGCAUCAGGUAACAUCAAAUCGUACCCCAAACCGACACAGGUGGUCAGGUAGAGAAUACCAAGGCGCUUGAGAGAACUCGGGUGAAGGAACUAGGCAAAAUGGUGCCGUAACUUCGGGAGAAGGCACGCUGAUAUGUAGGUGAAGUCCCUCGCGGAUGGAGCUGAAAUCAGUCGAAGAUACCAGCUGGCUGCAACUGUUUAUUAAAAACACAGCACUGUGCAAACACGAAAGUGGACGUAUACGGUGUGACGCCUGCCCGGUGCCGGAAGGUUAAUUGAUGGGGUCAGCGCAAGCGAAGCUCUUGAUCGAAGCCCCGGUAAACGGCGGCCGUAACUAUAACGGUCCUAAGGUAGCGAAAUUCCUUGUCGGGUAAGUUCCGACCUGCACGAAUGGCGUAAUGAUGGCCAGGCUGUCUCCACCCGAGACUCAGUGAAAUUGAACUCGCUGUGAAGAUGCAGUGUACCCGCGGCAAGACGGAAAGACCCCGUGAACCUUUACUAUAGCUUGACACUGAACAUUGAGCCUUGAUGUGUAGGAUAGGUGGGAGGCUUUGAAGUGUGGACGCCAGUCUGCAUGGAGCCGACCUUGAAAUACCACCCUUUAAUGUUUGAUGUUCUAACGUUGACCCGUGAUCCGGGUUGCGGACAGUGUCUGGUGGGUAGUUUGACUGGGGCGGUCUCCUCCUAAAGAGUAACGGAGGAGCACGAAGGUUGGCUAAUCCUGGUCGGACAUCAGGAGGUUAGUGCAAUGGCAUAAGCCAGCUUGACUGCGAGCGUGACGGCGCGAGCAGGUGCGAAAGCAGGUCAUAGUGAUCCGGUGGUUCUGAAUGGAAGGGCCAUCGCUCAACGGAUAAAAGGUACUCCGGGGAUAACAGGCUGAUACCGCCCAAGAGUUCAUAUCGACGGCGGUGUUUGGCACCUCGAUGUCGGCUCAUCACAUCCUGGGGCUGAAGUAGGUCCCAAGGGUAUGGCUGUUCGCCAUUUAAAGUGGUACGCGAGCUGGGUUUAGAACGUCGUGAGACAGUUCGGUCCCUAUCUGCCGUGGGCGCUGGAGAACUGAGGGGGGCUGCUCCUAGUACGAGAGGACCGGAGUGGACGCAUCACUGGUGUUCGGGUUGUCAUGCCAAUGGCACUGCCCGGUAGCUAAAUGCGGAAGAGAUAAGUGCUGAAAGCAUCUAAGCACGAAACUUGCCCCGAGAUGAGUUCUCCCUGACUCCUUGAGAGUCCUGAAGGAACGUUGAAGACGACGACGUUGAUAGGCCGGGUGUGUAAGCGCAGCGAUGCGUUGAGCUAACCGGUACUAAUGAACCGUGAGGCUUAACCUUACAACGCCGAAGCUGUU
This 2932-nucleotide ribosomal RNA is filed under the name Escherichia coli. Its description in RNAcentral is "23S ribosomal RNA". It matches the Rfam family "Bacterial large subunit ribosomal RNA". Lineage: Bacteria; Pseudomonadati; Pseudomonadota; Gammaproteobacteria; Enterobacterales; Enterobacteriaceae. The record is from RNAcentral.